AUGUCGAGCUCCACUUCAGCCUCCCGCCCCUCGUGGACCCAGUAUGGUCCACUUCCCAUGGAGCGAUGUCCUGACUACCCACGCAGCGCGCCACUGAUACAAUUGACUUUGAAGGAGGUCAAGAAUGGCAACUAUGGGCGCGAGUUCGUGAAAUGCGAGAGCAAGCCAGAGGGGCAGAUCGUGAAGAAAUGCACACAUUUUGAAUGGCUGGAUGACUACAUUAAGCGGAUUCAAUUCAAUGGGGCCCCAACCCGGGAGCUCAAUUUGCCGUCAGCACCGACGAAUUUGGUCUCUGAAAGUGCUUCUCUGACAGUUGGGGAUGCAUAUCUGAAGGGGGAAUUAAAGAAGAUGAACAAGAACUUGAAGCAGAUGAUUCAAUUGAACAAGCAGGCGAAUCUGAUAGCUUUAGGAUUUUAUCCCUUUUAUUUUUGUAUAGUUGCUCUAGGA
This 447-nucleotide ribosomal RNA is filed under the name Triticum aestivum (bread wheat). RNAcentral's name for it is "partial small subunit ribosomal RNA". The record is from RNAcentral. Lineage: Eukaryota; Viridiplantae; Streptophyta; Magnoliopsida; Poales; Poaceae.